GGUCCUGUAGUCUAGCGGUUAGGACAUUGGAUUCUGAUAUUCCAUAUUUCCAAGAGCCCCGGUUCGAGUCCGGGCAGGACCU
This 82-nucleotide transfer RNA is filed under the name Niveomyces insectorum RCEF 264. RNAcentral's name for it is "Sporothrix insectorum RCEF 264 tRNA". It matches the Rfam family "tRNA". Rfam says of the family: Transfer RNA (tRNA) molecules are approximately 80 nucleotides in length. Their secondary structure includes four short double-helical elements and three loops (D, anti-codon, and T loops). Further hydrogen bonds mediate the characteristic L-shaped molecular structure. tRNAs have two regions of fundamental functional importance: the anti-codon, which is responsible for specific mRNA codon recognition, and the 3' end, to which the tRNAs corresponding amino acid is attached (by aminoacyl-tRNA synthetases). tRNAs cope with the degeneracy of the genetic code in two manners: having more than one tRNA (with a specific anti-codon) for a particular amino acid; and 'wobble' base-pairing, i.e. permitting non-standard base-pairing at the 3rd anti-codon position. The record is from Rfam by way of RNAcentral. Lineage: Eukaryota; Fungi; Ascomycota; Sordariomycetes; Hypocreales; Cordycipitaceae.